RNAcentral lists this ribosomal RNA (253 nucleotides) under uncultured bacterium. RNAcentral describes it as "partial 16S ribosomal RNA". It matches the Rfam family "Bacterial small subunit ribosomal RNA", at positions 524 to 776 of the family's 1533-position model. The record is from RNAcentral.
UACAGAGGUGGCAAGCGUUGUUCGGAAUUACUGGGCGUAAAGGGCGCGUAGGCGGUCCCGUCAGUCCCUUGUGAAAUCCCCCGGCUCAACUGGGGAACUGCAAGGGAUACAGCGGGGCUUGAGUUCGGGAGAGGGAAGCGGAAUUCCGGGUGUAGCGGUGAAAUGCGUAGAUAUCUGGAGGAACACCGGUGGCGAAGGCGGCAUCCUGGACCACGACUGACGCUGAGGAGCGAAAGCCAGGGGAGCAAACGGG